UUUGGUGGUUUUAGCGGGGGGGUCCCACCUCUUACCAUUCCGAACAGAGAAGUUAAGCCCUCCAGCGCUGAUGGUACUAGGCGUAAGCCUGGGAGAGUAAGUCGCUGCCAAUU
This 113-nucleotide ribosomal RNA is filed under the name Saprospiraceae bacterium. Lineage: Bacteria; Pseudomonadati; Bacteroidota; Saprospiria; Saprospirales; Saprospiraceae. The record is from RNAcentral.